AACUUCGGGAAACCGGAGCUAAUACCGGAUAAUAUUUUGAACCGCAUGGUUCAAAAGUGAAAGACGGUCUUGCUGUCACUUAUAGAUGGAUCCGCGCUGCAUUAGCUAGUUGGUAAGGUAACGGCUUACCAAGGCAACGAUGCAUAGCCGACCUGAGAGGGUGAUCGGCCACACUGGAACUGAGACACGGUCCAGACUCCUACGGGAGGCAGCAGUAGGGAAUCUUCCGCAAUGGGCGAAAGC
This 243-nucleotide ribosomal RNA is filed under the name Staphylococcus aureus. RNAcentral's name for it is "partial 16S ribosomal RNA". It matches the Rfam family "Bacterial small subunit ribosomal RNA", at positions 145 to 382 of the family's 1533-position model. Lineage: Bacteria; Bacillati; Bacillota; Bacilli; Caryophanales; Staphylococcaceae. The record is from RNAcentral.